RNAcentral lists this ribosomal RNA (490 nucleotides) under uncultured bacterium. RNAcentral describes it as "partial 16S ribosomal RNA". It matches the Rfam family "Bacterial small subunit ribosomal RNA", at positions 28 to 507 of the family's 1533-position model. The record is from RNAcentral.
GAUGAACGCUAGCGGCAGGCCUAAUACAUGCAAGUCGAACGGGACCCAGAUCAAAGCUUGCUUUGGUCUGGUGAGAGUGGCGCACGGGUGCGUAACGCGUGAGCAACCUACCCUUGUCAGGGGGAUAGCCCGGCGAAAGUCGGAUUAAUACCGCAUGACAUCAUUGAGAGGCAUCUUUCGAUGAUCAAAGAUUUAUCGUACAAGGAUGGGCUCGCGUGACAUUAGCUAGUUGGUAAGGUAACGGCUUACCAAGGCUGCGAUGUCUAGGGGCUCUGAGAGGAGAAUCCCCCACACUGGUAAUGAGACACGGACCAGAAUCGUACGGGAGGCAGCAGUAAGGAAUAGUAGUCAAUGGACGGAAGUCUGAACCAGCCAUGCCGGGUGAAGAAGGACGGCCCUAUGGGUUGUAAACUGCUUUUAAACGGGAACAAACGUCGGUACGUGUACCGGUCUGAGUGUACCGUAAGAAUAAGGAUCGGCUAACUCCGUG